RNAcentral lists this RNase P RNA (406 nucleotides) under Streptomyces sp. QHH-9511. RNAcentral describes it as "Bacterial RNase P class A". It matches the Rfam family "Bacterial RNase P class A". From Rfam's summary of the family: Ribonuclease P (RNase P) is a ubiquitous endoribonuclease, found in archaea, bacteria and eukarya as well as chloroplasts and mitochondria. Its best characterised activity is the generation of mature 5'-ends of tRNAs by cleaving the 5'-leader elements of precursor-tRNAs. The record is from Rfam by way of RNAcentral. Lineage: Bacteria; Bacillati; Actinomycetota; Actinomycetes; Kitasatosporales; Streptomycetaceae.
CGAGCCGGGCGGGCGGCCGCGUGGGGGUCCUUUGGAUCCUCCCGAGGAACGUCCGGGCUCCACAGGGCAGGGUGGUGGCUAACGGCCACCCGGGGUGACCCGCGGGACAGUGCCACAGAAAACAGACCGCCGGGGACCUCGGUCCUCGGUAAGGGUGAAACGGUGGUGUAAGAGACCACCAGCGCCUGAGGCGACUCAGGCGGCUAGGUAAACCCCACCCGGAGCAAGGUCAAGAGGGGCUGUUUGGAGACAGACGGCUCUGCGCGAACGCUCGAGGGCUGCCCGCCCGAGUUCGCGGGUAGACCGCACGAGACCGGUGGCAACGCCGGUCCUAGAUGGAUGGCCGUCACCCCGACGACCGCGAGGUCCCGGGGUACAGAACCCGGCGUACAGCCCGACUCGUCUG